RNAcentral lists this transfer RNA (114 nucleotides) under Gammaproteobacteria bacterium. RNAcentral's name for it is "tRNA-Leu". RNAcentral also lists the same sequence under 1 other name. Lineage: Bacteria; Pseudomonadati; Pseudomonadota; Gammaproteobacteria. The record is from RNAcentral.
GCCUGGUAUUGUUGCUGUUAAUUGUUGCAGUUUAUUGUGAGUUUUGCGCAAGCGGGACUUAAAAUCCCUCGGAGAUACAUCUCCUUGCCGGUUCGAUUCCGGCCCCGGGCACCA